ACUGCGGCCUAUCAGUUUGUUGGUGAGGUAAUGGCCCACCAAGACUAUUACAGGUACGGGCUCUGAGAGGAGUAGCCCGGAGAUGGGUACUGAGACACGGACCCAGGCCCUAUGGGGCGCAGCAGGCGAGAAAACUUUGCAAUGUGCGAAAGCACGACAAGGUUAAUCCGAGUGGUUUCUGCUAAAGGAACCUUUUGUUAGUCAUAGAACCACUAAUGAAUAAGGGGUGGGCAAGUUCUGGUGUCAGCCGCCGCGGUAAAACCAGCACCUCAAGUGGUCAGGAUGAUUAUUGGGCCUAAAGCAUCCGUAGCCGGCUUUGUCAGUUUUCGGUUAAAUCCAUACGCUCAACGUAUGGGCUGCCGGGAAUACUACAAGGCUAGGGAGUGGGAGAGGUAGACGGUACUCGGUAGGAAGGGGUAAAAUCCUUUGAUCUAUUGAUGACCACCUGUGGCGAAGGCGGUCUACCAGAACACGUCCGACGGUGAGGGAUGAAAGCUGGGGGAGCAAACCGGAUUAGAUACCCGGGUAGUCCCAGCUGUAAACUAUGCAAACUCGGUGAUGCAUUGGCUUGAUGCCAAUGCAGUGCCGCAGGGAAGCCGUUAAGUUUGCCGCCUGGGAAGUACGUACGCAAGUAUGAAACUUAAAGGAAUUGGCGGGGGAGCACCACAAGGGGUGAAGCCUGCGGUUCAAUUGGAUUCAACGCC
This 704-nucleotide ribosomal RNA is filed under the name uncultured archaeon. Its description in RNAcentral is "bacterial SSU rRNA". It matches the Rfam family "Archaeal small subunit ribosomal RNA", at positions 214 to 919 of the family's 1478-position model. The record is from RNAcentral.